UUUCCCAGUCCCUGCUGGUUUCUCUGUGUGAAUAUUCACUCUAGCUCCUAUUGCCUGGCAGACUUACUCAUUAUAUCCUCAAUGGAAAUUCCAGAGAGGGACAACUGGAUUAGUCCAGUGACUCAUGGAGGAGCAUCUGCUUUUGAUGAAGUGCUUUCUCUUCAGUCGGGCCAAUCACGAUUGGGAGGCAGCGUCUUGAACGGUGGAAUAUGAGUAAGAACUUCUACAGAAGAGGCCAGGGCUUCCCAGAAGGGGGCUAUUCAGUAACAGUAAUUAUCAGCAACCUCUAUUUAGCACUUGAGCACAUAUCUAAAUAUUUUACAUAUGUGAAAAUUCAUUUAAUUUUCAUAACAUGCAUAAUUUAAUUGUUUUCAUUUAUUUGACAAAUAUAUACAGCGUUGCUCUGUAGCAGGCACUGGUCUUAGUACCUUACAGAUGUUGACUCCGUUGAUAAAAACUUACGAGUUAAGGAAAGACACUACCAUUCAAAUAGACAAGCUACAUAAGACAGACUACGUAUACACUGGAAUCAGAGUCUCCAAUCAGAAAGGGAUUUUGUGUCUCUUUUCCUGUUAAGAACCUGGUUUAGACAGCUCUGCUACCUAUAAACAUUUGCUCUAAUCAAUUAGAGAAGGAGAGCCUAAGAAAUGGUCAUGCAAAAUAUUCGGACAAUGUCACAUGAUGCCUGAAGACUGCUCUCAUUUUAACUGGGAUAAAGAGGACAUUUCUCCAUUCAAGAGCUGCUUCUGAUUGUUCUAUGUUUCUGAUGCAUUUUUACUAACGCAAUACAUAGGGUAAUAAGAUACUCAUGUUACAGACACAUUAUGUAAUAGUCUGUAUCGUUUAUAUCCUUAUUUGUUUUCAGGAAAAUCAAGUUUUAUUUUUACUUCUGUGAAACAAUGUCAUUUCAACUUAUUUAUACAUAUUCCUUUAUCAGGAAAUAAUUUUAUCCUGGAUAUCCCUUUAAUGUCUUGCAAAAUGUCUCCCCAUUCUUUUUCAUCUCUUAAUAUAUUUUUCCCACC
This 1022-nucleotide long non-coding RNA is filed under the name Homo sapiens (human). RNAcentral's name for it is "non-protein coding lnc-MEIS2-11:1". Lineage: Eukaryota; Metazoa; Chordata; Mammalia; Primates; Hominidae. The record is from RNAcentral.